AACGCACAUUGCGCUCUCUGGUAUUCCGGAGAGCAUGCCUGUUUGAGAAUCGAUAAAACCCUCACAUGUCCCUCCCUCUUUGGAACAGUCAAAGUUGGGAGGUGCGCCUCUGUGGAUCUGGAUCGUUUGUGGACCUCCGAGUCUACAAUGAUCUUAAAUGAAAUGUCUACAGCUCUUGUUGUCCUCAACAAAGCCCAGAGUGCAUGAAUGGAGUUUGAAAGAACUUGAUCCUCACGAUGGUGUUUUGUUCAAAGGCUCACUUGUUGUGUACCCAACCAUUACAUUGGUGGAUGCAUCCCUGUUGGUGUGUCUUCCAAAAACUUGGUCUCAAAUCAGGUAGGAAAACCCGCUGAACUUAA
RNAcentral lists this unclassified non-coding RNA (359 nucleotides) under uncultured Chytridiomycetes. RNAcentral describes it as "sequence contains ITS2". Lineage: Eukaryota; Fungi; Chytridiomycota; Chytridiomycetes. The record is from RNAcentral.